GCGAAUGGCUCAUUAAAUCAGCUAUGGUUUACUGGACCGUACCCGUUAAAUGGAUAACUGUAAUAACUCUAGAGCUAAUACAUGCAACUAUGCCCUGAACCGAAAGGCAAGGGGUGCACUUAUUAGAUCAGAAGCUAACUGGACACUGGCCGCAAGGCCGGAGUCUGUUGUCGUUCUGGUGACUCUGGAUAAUUGUUACAGAUCGCAGUCGGCCAUGAGUCGGCGACGGGUCCUCCAAAUGUCUGCCCUAUCAACUUUCGAUGGUAGGUGACCUGCCUACCAUGGUGAUAACGGGUAACGGGGAAUCAGGGUUCGAUUCCGGAGAGGGAGCCUGAGAAACGGCUACCACUUCCAAGGGAGGCAGCAGGCGCGCAAAUUACCCACUCCCAGCACGGGGAGGUGGUGACGAAAAAUACCGAUGCGGGACUCCCAAACGAGGCUCCGUAAUCGGAAUGAGUCGACUAUAAAUCCUUUAACGAGGAUCAAUUGGAGGGCAAGUCUGGUGCCAGCAGCCGCGGUAACUCCAGCUCCAAUAGCGUAUAUUAAAGUUGCUGCAGUUAAAAAGCUCGUAGUUGGAUCUCGGUAUUAUUGUUGCCUGCUGGCUGUUAAGGAUUUGCUGGCCUUGCGGCGUAUGGGUGAGCCUGUGCGACGCAGGGUUGGUGUCCUUUGGUCGGUGGCGGCGAUGAUACCUUUUAGCCAUGUCUGUGGUGAAAUAUCUACAGGUGUAGGCGAGUGCCAGACUGAGUCCUGCAAUUGUGGGAUUCGUCGGCUUGUCUGCAUGCCUAUGGAUGCCCUUUAAAAGGUGUCUGUGGGCGGAUGGCACGUUUACUUUGAACAAAUUUGAGUGCUCAAACCAGGCCGAUGUUGCCUGAAAAGUUUUGCAUGGAAUAAUGGAAUAGGACUUCGGUUCUAUUUCGUUGGUUUUCGGAUCCGAAGUAAUGAUCAAAAGAGACAGGCGGGGACGUUUGUAUGGCUGCGCUAGAGGUGAAAUUCUUGGACCGUAGCCAGACAAACUAAAGCGAAAGCAUUCGUCAAGCAUGUUUUCAUUGGCCAUGAGCGAAAGUCAGAGGCUCGAAGACGAUCAGAUACCGUCCUAGUUCUGACCAUAAACGAUGCCAACUGACGAUCCGUGAUGGUUGCAUCUUAACCUUCCUCACGGGCAGUCCCCGGGAAACCAUUAAGUCUAUGGGUUCCGGGGGAAGUAUGGUUGCAAAGCUGAAACUUAAAGGAAUUGACGGAAGGGCACCACCAGGAGUGGAGCCUGCGGCUUAAUUUGACUCAACACGGGAAAACUCACCCGGGCCGGACACUAUGAGGAUUGACAGAUUGAAAGCUCUUUCUUGAUUUGGUGGUUGGUGGUGCAUGGCCGUUCUUAGUUGGUGGAGCGAUUUGUCUGGUUAAUUCCGAUAACGAACGAGACUCCAGCCUGCUAAUUAGUUCUCCUGUCCACUGUACUUGUGCAGGCGGGCAUUGGCCACAUCUGCCCUUCACGGUUGGCCUUCCGGUGCUGUUGUUGUUAGUCGCGUCGGGUGCUCAUCUUUACGGGUGGGUGCUUGGUGUGCUGAUGACGGCUAUCUGGUUGAUUGACUUGGGUGGAUAGAGCUGUGUCUGCUUCCGAGUACGGCGCGGGUGUCCACUUCUUAGAGGGACAAGCGGGAGAAGCCGCACGAAAUUGAGCAAUAACAGGUCUGUGAUGCCCUUAGAUGUCCGGGGCCGCACGCGCGCUACAAUGACGGUGGCAACGAGUCUGGCCUUCUGGCCCGAAAGGGUUGGGUAAACUGGUCAAUCACCGUCAUGACAGGGAUCGGGGUUUGGAAUUGUUCCCCGUGAACGAGGAAUUCCUAGUAAGUGCAAGUCAUAAGCUUGCGCUGAUUACGUCCCUGCCCUUUGUACACACCGCCCGUCGCUACUACCGAUUGAAUGGUUUAGUAAGGUCCUUGGAUUGGCGCCAUUGAAGCCGUCAGGCUCAGGCGGUGCUGAGAAGACGACCGAACUUGAUCAUUUAGAGGAAGUAAAAGUCGUAACAAG
RNAcentral lists this ribosomal RNA (2028 nucleotides) under Tetracampos ciliotheca. RNAcentral describes it as "SSU rRNA". It matches the Rfam family "Eukaryotic small subunit ribosomal RNA". Lineage: Eukaryota; Metazoa; Platyhelminthes; Cestoda; Bothriocephalidea; Bothriocephalidae. The record is from RNAcentral.